RNAcentral lists this ribosomal RNA (253 nucleotides) under uncultured bacterium. RNAcentral describes it as "partial 16S ribosomal RNA". It matches the Rfam family "Bacterial small subunit ribosomal RNA", at positions 524 to 776 of the family's 1533-position model. The record is from RNAcentral.
UACGAAGGGGGCUAGCGUUGCUCGGAAUCACUGGGCGUAAAGGGUGCGUAGGCGGGUCUUUAAGUCAGGGGUGAAAUCCUGGAGCUCAACUCCAGAACUGCCUUUGAUACUGGGGAUCUCGAGUCCGGGAGAGGUGAGUGGAACUGCGAGUGUAGAGGUGAAAUUCGUAGAUAUUCGCAAGAACACCAGUGGCGAAGGCGGCUCACUGGCCCGGUACUGACGCUGAGGCGCGAAAGCGUGGGGAGCAAACAGG